This 253-nucleotide ribosomal RNA is filed under the name uncultured bacterium. RNAcentral's name for it is "partial 16S ribosomal RNA". It matches the Rfam family "Bacterial small subunit ribosomal RNA", at positions 524 to 776 of the family's 1533-position model. The record is from RNAcentral.
UACGUAGGGACCGAGCGUUGUCCGGAAUCAUUGGGCGUAAAGAGCGUGUAGGCGGCUAUUUAAGUCCUGCGUGAAAUCCUGCGGCUCAACCGCAGACGGUCGUGGGAAACUGGAUGGCUAGAGUGCGGGAGAGGAGAGUGGAAUUCCCGGUGUAGCGGUGAAAUGCGCAGAUAUCGGGAAGAACACCGAUAGCGAAGGCAGCUCGCUGGGACGGUACUGACGCUGAGGCGCGAAAGCGUGGGGAGCGAACAGG